GGGUCUCUCUAGGUGGACCAGAUCUGAGCCUGGGCGCUCUCUGGCUACCUAGGGAACCCAC
This 61-nucleotide microRNA precursor is filed under the name Human immunodeficiency virus 1. RNAcentral's name for it is "Trans-activation response element (TAR)". It matches the Rfam family "Trans-activation response element (TAR)". From Rfam's summary of the family: The TAR hairpin acts as a binding site for the Tat protein and this interaction stimulates the activity of the long terminal repeat promoter. Further experiments have shown that TAR acts as a miRNA that protects against apoptosis. The record is from Rfam by way of RNAcentral. Lineage: Riboviria; Pararnavirae; Artverviricota; Revtraviricetes; Ortervirales; Retroviridae.